UCCCCUUCCCUCCCCUCCCCCAGGAGACAUUUUGGUCACGUCCCAGCAGCAGGUACCCGAAGAGCCAGGGUACGAGCGGCCAGAGCCCUAGUCAGGCUCCUUCGGAGGGCAAGCAUGGCGCGGCUUCGAGCGCUGCGAAGGGCAGCGGCCGGUAUUCUUCCUUAAAUUCCUUCUCCUGUGGCUUCUCUACUGAUUAAAACAAAAACAGCAACCAAGAAGCUCAGAGAGACUAAGAGACAAAGGUAACAAACUUUGUCGUGUUCCUGGUCCAGUGGUGCGUCAGCAAAUGGAAGCACCUGUAGUUCAUCAGCGGAGUGAAGCCCAUCAUUCUACUGGCUCUCCAGUUCUGUCUGGGACAUGUUCAAAGAUGAAUGAAAGAGGAAAAGGCAGACCCAGUUGUACACUUCCAGGUGACCAAACAUGGCCUUAAGCACACGGCUGAUCUCAUGCCAGAGGAAAUCCGUCCACACAGACUGCAAUUCAUACCAUCACCACCUCAUUCCCUAAGUUUCCAUUUCUAACAGGAACAGCCAGCAAACAAAGGACCCAAAGUGAUAUGUGAGAUUUUGAGGGGAAAAAAAAUGAAGAAGGUGGUUUUAUUAUUCCUAAAUAUCCAGGUAAACACUUGAAAAUCAGUUUACCUUCUGGUCAGAAGUAUGGAGCAGGUAGAAAAAAAAAAACUAGGGAACAAGUAGAUUUGAGAAGUAAAAGGAAAAAAAGUACAAAGCAACUAAAGAAUUAUAAACAACAGAGGCAGAUAACCAAGAUGUGACACUGUUCUAGGAGCCACUAAGUUCACGUAGACAGUGCUGAAGGCUGAGGGGAGGUCCUGGUGGAUAGGAUCCAAAUAAGACAUUUCAAAUCUCUUGUGAUCUAAGAUACACUACGAAGUUGAGAUUAUGGGGGAAAGAAAAAUUAGUUUAUGCUUUUAAAAAGUCUGCCUUUUGUUUAAAAUUAGGUUGAGGUAAAUAUUUCCCUUAAGUCAGUAAGAAAGUGAAAUCAGCAAGAAGAUAAAUUUUAAUAAUUACUUUCAAACUGAGAAAUAAGAGGAAAACAAAAAAGUUAAACUACAGUAAUUCAGCUUAACAGUUUAAAUUAAUCCAUUCCCCCAAGUUUUACAAGCAAAGAUAUACUUACUGUUUUUAGAUUAACUGUAAUUUGUGUAAAAAAAAAUACUAAAUUAUGAGAAAAUAUCAUACAUUAUCCUUUUCCUACCUAUACAUGUGUUCUGUGUUCCAGAUCCCCAACUUCUCAACCUUUCUUCCCAUGUAUUUCAUAUUCAUAUCUAAACUUUAACAGUUUUUCCAAAUUGGAAAAAAUUUCAUUAUUUAAGGCUCAUUGUUUUAAUUGUAAGCAAAGAGCUCAAAUUCAUUUUUAUCUCUAUAAUCACAAUAUAUUCCGAUAUAAAACAAAGGAUUAUUUUUUCCUAUGGAACUUUAGUUUUUAUAGC
Molecule: long non-coding RNA, 1450 nt
Organism: Balaenoptera musculus (blue whale)
Lineage: Eukaryota; Metazoa; Chordata; Mammalia; Artiodactyla; Balaenopteridae
Exons: 5
Source: RefSeq, a predicted model, not a curated record